CUUCGGUUCUUUUUGUUGGUUCUAGAAUUGAUCUAAUGGUUAAGAGGGACAAACCGGGGGCAUUCGUAUCAUUACGCGAGAGGUGAAAUUCGUGGACCGUAGUGAGACGCCCAAUAGCGAAAGCAUUUGCCAAGAAUGUCUUCAUUAAUCAAGAACGAAAGUCAGAGGUUCGAAGGCGAUUAGAUACCGCCCUAGUUCUGACCGUAAACGAUGCCAUCUCGCGAUUCGGAGGGUUCAUGCCCUACCGAGGAGCUACCCGGAAACGAAAGUCUUUCGGUUCCGGGGGUAGUAUGGUUGCAAAGCUGAAACUUAAAGAAAUUGACGGAAGGGCACCACAAGGCGUGGAGCUUGCGGCUUAAUUUGACUCAACACGGGAAAACUCACCCGGUCCGGACACUAUUAGGACUGACAGAUUGAAAGCUCUUUCUCGAUUUGGUGGUUGGUGGUGCAUGGCCGUUCUUAGUUGGUGGAGUGAUUUGUCUGGUUUAUUCCGAUAACGAGCGAGACUCUAGCCUGCUAAAUAGUCGACGAAUCUUCGGGUUCGUAUAACUUCUUAGAGGGAUAAGCGGUGUUUAGCCGCACGAGAUUGAGCGAUAACAGGUCUGUGAUGCCCUUAGAUGUCCGGGGCUGCACGCGUGCUACACUGGUGGAGUCAGCGGGUUUUUCCUAUGCCGAAAGGUAUCGGUAAACCGUUGAACUUCUUCCAUGUCCGGGAUAGGGUAUUGUAAUUAUUACCCUUAAACGAGGAAUGCCUAGUAAGUGUGAGUCAUCAGCUCACGUUGAUUACGUCCCUGCCCUUUGUACACACCGCCCGUCGCUAUCCGGGACUGAACUGAUUCGAGAAGAGUGGGGACUGUGGCUGCGAGGUUUUACCACUUCGCAGUUGCGGAAACCAUUUUUAUCGCAUUGGUUUGAACCGGGUAAAAGUCGUAACAAGGUAGCUGUAGGUGAACCUGCAGCUGGAUCAUCG
This 970-nucleotide non-coding RNA is filed under the name Caenorhabditis japonica. Its description in RNAcentral is "Eukaryotic small subunit ribosomal RNA". It matches the Rfam family "Eukaryotic small subunit ribosomal RNA", at positions 828 to 1831 of the family's 1831-position model. The record is from Rfam by way of RNAcentral. Lineage: Eukaryota; Metazoa; Nematoda; Chromadorea; Rhabditida; Rhabditidae.